GGCCUCCUGAUGCUUACUACAGGCUGGGUUUGUAUAUACAAAGAGAAGGCAGAGUAAGCCUACCCCAUGUACAACUCAGCCCAGGACCUGUGUCUGGUUGGUGUUGUGAAUGGGGAGACAUGG
Small nucleolar RNA from Ictidomys tridecemlineatus (thirteen-lined ground squirrel), 123 nucleotides. The record is from Ensembl. Lineage: Eukaryota; Metazoa; Chordata; Mammalia; Rodentia; Sciuridae.